Long non-coding RNA from Octopus sinensis (East Asian common octopus), 373 nucleotides. RefSeq lists it as uncharacterized. The record is from RefSeq and is a predicted model, not a curated record. Lineage: Eukaryota; Metazoa; Mollusca; Cephalopoda; Octopoda; Octopodidae. The transcript is spliced from 3 exons.
ACCUAACCACUCACCUUCAUAUUAUACAUAGAGAUAUCAUCAGAGGACAGCAAAAGGAUGGUUGAGAACUGCUGCUGUCAGGUGAGCUGCAGGUGCCAAUGGCCAGAGUCAAUCACCUUACUACAGGUGAUUAACAUUCGUAAUCCCAUCCAAUUUACAACUGGCCAGCAUAAAACAGGACAGGCAUACCACCAGCAUAUGUACCCUAUUGAUGGAAAAGUUUCUGCUAAAUGAAAACCUAAUUAAAUGGCUACUCCUCAAGAAAAAAGCACAAUGUGUGUCAUGGUUUACUGAAGCAAAAUCAAACAUGCAGACUUAGCAAAACUACAGGAUUGAGUGUGGAAGACAUCCACCAUGCAGUUCAUGCAUAGAA